UACGUAGGGUGCGAGCGUUGAUCGGAAUUACUGGGCGUAAAGCGUGCGCAGGCGGUUUUGUAAGCCAGAUGUGAAAUCCCCGGGCUCAACCUGGGAAUGGCAUUUGGGACUGCAAGGCUCGAGUGCGGCAGAGGAGACUGGAAUUCAUGGUGUAGCAGUGAAAUGCGUAGAUAUCAUGAGGAAUACUAGAGGCGAAGGCGGCUACCUGGACAAUUGCUGACGCUCAGGCACGAAAGCGUGGGGAGCAAACAGG
Molecule: ribosomal RNA, 253 nt
Filed under: uncultured bacterium
Lineage: Bacteria
Description: partial 16S ribosomal RNA
Rfam family: Bacterial small subunit ribosomal RNA
Source: RNAcentral